This 1352-nucleotide ribosomal RNA is filed under the name uncultured bacterium. Its description in RNAcentral is "bacterial SSU rRNA". It matches the Rfam family "Bacterial small subunit ribosomal RNA", at positions 28 to 1381 of the family's 1533-position model. The record is from RNAcentral.
AUUGAACGCUGGCGGCAUGCCUUACACAUGCAAGUCGAACGGCAGCACGGAGCUUGCUCUGGUGGCGAGUGGCGAACGGGUGAGUAAUAUAUCGGAACGUACCCUGGAGUGGGGGAUAACGUAGCGAAAGUUACGCUAAUACCGCAUACGAUCUACGGAUGAAAGUGGGGGAUCGCAAGACCUCAUGCUCGUGGAGCGGCCGAUAUCUGAUUAGCUAGUUGGUAGGGUAAAAGCCUACCAAGGCAUCGAUCAGUAGCUGGUCUGAGAGGACGACCAGCCACACUGGAACUGAGACACGGUCCAGACUCCUACGGGAGGCAGCAGUGGGGAAUUUUGGACAAUGGGCGAAAGCCUGAUCCAGCAAUGCCGCGUGAGUGAAGAAGGCCUUCGGGUUGUAAAGCUCUUUCGUCAGGGAAGAAACGGUGAGGGCUAAUAUCCUUUGCUAAUGACGGUACCUGAAGAAUAAGCACCGGCUAACUACGUGCCAGCAGCCGCGGUAAUACGUAGGGUGCAAGCGUUAAUCGGAAUUACUGGGCGUAAAGCGUGCGCAGGCGGUUUUGUAAGUCUGAUGUGAAAUCCCCGGGCCCAACCUGGGAAUUGCAUUGGAGACUGCAAGGCUAGAAUCUGGCAGAGGGGGGUAGAAUUCCACGUGUAGCAGUGAAAUGCGUAGAUAUGUGGAGGAACACCGAUGGCGAAGGCAGCCCCCUGGGUCAAGAUUGACGCUCAUGCACGAAAGCGUGGGGAGCAAACAGGAUUAGAUACCCUGGUAGUCCACGCCCUAAACGAUGUCUACUAGUUGUCGGGUCUUAAUUGACUUGGUAACGCAGCUAACGCGCGAAGUAGACCGCCUGGGGAGUACGGUCGCAAGAUUAAAACUCAAAGGAAUUGACGGGGACCCGCACAAGCGGUGGAUGAUGUGGAUUAAUUCGAUGCAACGCGAAAAACCUUACCUACCCUUGACAUGGCUGGAAUCCCCGAGAGAUUGGGGAGUGCUCGAAAGAGAACCAGUACACAGGUGCUGCAUGGCUGUCGUCAGCUCGUGUCGUGAGAUGUUGGGUUAAGUCCCGCAACGAGCGCAACCCUUGUCAUUAGUUGCUACGAAAGGGCACUCUAAUGAGACUGCCGGUGACAAACCGGAGGAAGGUGGGGAUGACGUCAAGUCCUCAUGGCCCUUAUGGGUAGGGCUUCACACGUCAUACAAUGGUACAUACAGAGCGCCGCCAACCCGCGAAGGGGAGCUAAUCGCAGAAAGUGUAUCGUAGUCCGGAUUGUAGUCUGCAACUCGACUGCAUGAAGUUGGAAUCGCUAGUAAUCGCGGAUCAGCAUGUCGCGGUGAAUACGUUCCCGGGUCU